UAGGGAAUUACAGAAGCCAGAGUGGCAAGGGGAGAGGUCUGAGUGACUAUUACAGCAGCAGUUCAAGGCCCUUAUUUUGUUUUGCUUUUCUGGAUUACAGGACUGCAGUUCUGAUGAGGAGGUGAAGAGCUGCUGGCACCAAGCAGAGAAAUGCUUCCUGCAGAGGUACUUCAUUAUCUGGUCAACUCGAACUCGGCAACUUGUGAAGGCCCAGGAGCACCAUAGGCUCCUUCAGCUGUUUCGAGCCUUUCUCAGCUGGCACAACUGGGUCAUGGAAAAUAAAAACCAAAGAGCAGUAGCAGCCCUAAAACAUGGAGUUCAUUGCUGCCAGAAGGCUUUCAGCCUGUGGAAGAAGAGACUGGUGCAGAAAGUGGAAGCUGACCAGAGAUUCCAACAUCACAUUCACCAGACAACUGCUUAUGCUCUGUGGUACUGGCGUUCCUGCUGGCAAAGGAAGCGUGCUGUGAGGGAGCUGCAGCAGCAAUGGGUUCAGCGCAGUUGCCGGGAGAAGAAGAGGCUGGUCCUGCAGAAGUGGUGUUGCCAAACAAGGAAGCAGAAAUAUGCUGCUUUAUUCUGGGAACAUCGUCUCCUGCACAGGUUGGUUUCCUGCCCUAAAAGCAUUUCUGAAGCAAGCUUUGAGUGAAGAG
Long non-coding RNA from Dryobates pubescens (Downy woodpecker), 647 nucleotides. RefSeq lists it as uncharacterized. Lineage: Eukaryota; Metazoa; Chordata; Aves; Piciformes; Picidae. The record is from RefSeq and is a predicted model, not a curated record. The transcript is spliced from 3 exons.